Cyprinus carpio carpio is the source of this 525-nucleotide long non-coding RNA. Lineage: Eukaryota; Metazoa; Chordata; Actinopteri; Cypriniformes; Cyprinidae. The record is from Ensembl.
CCUUCCAGUGCUCCUGAAGACUCCUCACUGCAGAGGAGCAGCAAAUGCAGGACGUCCAGCCUCAAGAUCAGGACAGUCCAGUCAGUCCUUCACAUCUGAGACAUCUGGACUGUGACGAGAUCACGAGGAACGAGAACCUCAUUUGCUGGACGUGUGCCAUCGGUGAGGAGUUGGGGAAGGAGGCUCUGUCUCUGAAGGGACCCGCUGUGAGGACGGCCUUCAGGUGGCUGUGAAAUUCACAGUGAAGACAGAAAUCGAGUCGUACCUCAACCUUCUGACCGUCCCAGUCCAGUUCCUCUAGAGGUGGCUCUGACAGUUACGGCCAAUCAAGGCCCCCGCUGUCUCCACAUCAUAGAGCUGCUGGACUGCAGGAGCAUCCCGACCAGUACAUCAUGGUCUUAGAGCAGCCCUCACCCUGCGUGGACAUCACGGUGAGCUCUUCAGUGAGGAGCUGGUGCUUCAUUUCAUGCAGCAGGUGAUUGACGCUGCGGUCCUUUGUUGUUCCCGGGGGUCUUCCAACGGGAC